Non-coding RNA from Pogona vitticeps (central bearded dragon), 506 nucleotides. Lineage: Eukaryota; Metazoa; Chordata; Lepidosauria; Squamata; Agamidae. The record is from RefSeq and is a predicted model, not a curated record.
GAUUUCAUGUCCUGAUUGCCUUCCUCUUUGUUUCCCUUUUCUGAAUAACAUUUUCUUUUGGAUGGCUUGGCAAGCAGGUCAUUAAGCGUAGAAGAGGCAGAACUUUGUUCAUGUGCUCAAAGUGCUUGGAGUCCAGCAUUUCUUCUACAGUGUCUUCGAGAUCUCAUCCCAAAAUGUUCAUUGUGGGCCACCUCAUGCUCCUUGCAAUUGGUGUCUCCCUCCACACAGCACCAUCAGAUGCUCUACGGUGUCGGGAGUGUGGAAUAUAUCAUCCAUAUCCAGAAUGUAAACCAGUUAGGAAGGACUGUCAACCUGAUACAAAAGAACACACCUGUGCAGUAUCAAGACUCUAUGAAAAAGGAGAGCUGAUAAGAACAUAUCGAGGAUGUCAUGGUAAGUCUGAAUGUGGUAAGAAAAGAACCUUCCCUCCUUCAAGAAGUAGUGAAGUCGUCUGUUGCCAUGAUCGUGACUUCUGCAAUGAAAACUUAUAGAGAGGUGCCUGAAGA